GGCGGACGGGUGAGUAACGUGUAAAGAACUUACCAUAUAGACUGGGAUAACAGAGGGAAACUUCUGAUAAUACUGGAUAAGUUAGUAUAUCGCAUGAUAUACAAAUGAAAGCUACGGCACUAAAGGAGAGCUUUGCGUCCUAUUAGCUAGUUGGUAAGGUAAGAGCUUACCAAGGCGAUGAUAGGUAGCCGGCCUGAGAGGGUGGACGGCCACAAGGGGACUGAGAUACGGCCCUUACUCCUACGGGAGGCAGCAGCC
This 258-nucleotide ribosomal RNA is filed under the name uncultured Leptotrichia sp. Its description in RNAcentral is "partial 16S ribosomal RNA". It matches the Rfam family "Bacterial small subunit ribosomal RNA", at positions 97 to 355 of the family's 1533-position model. The record is from RNAcentral. Lineage: Bacteria; Fusobacteriati; Fusobacteriota; Fusobacteriia; Fusobacteriales; Leptotrichiaceae.